GGGCUCUUGGCACAGGGGUAGCGCGCACGCUUCGCAUGGCCGAUAUGCGUGAGGUCGUGGGUUCAAUUCCCACAGUGUCCA
Molecule: transfer RNA, 81 nt
Organism: Hypholoma sublateritium FD-334 SS-4
Lineage: Eukaryota; Fungi; Basidiomycota; Agaricomycetes; Agaricales; Strophariaceae
Rfam family: tRNA
About the family: Transfer RNA (tRNA) molecules are approximately 80 nucleotides in length.
Source: Rfam